CGGCUGACGAUCAGCUCCCUCUGGUGGAGAUCCAGAGCUGCUCCACGUCCGUCACGCAGGACUUCCUGUGGUUCUGUAAGCUGUCGUGUGCGUGGACGCAGGUGCCGCGGCUGCUGCAGGUCCUGUCGUCUUCAUCGCUCUCCUCGUCUUCAUCGCUGCUGCAGAACAGACUCAGUUUCCUGCGGGCCGUCGCGCAGCUGCAGGCGUCGGUGGGAUGUGUGGAUCUGGGUCAGGUGUAUUUCGAGCCGCUGAAGGACCGGCAGGGGAAUGUGCUGCUGGUGACCCUGAGAGAGGUCACGACCCCGCUGACCCCGUCUGACCCCCCGCUGCACUGGCUUCCUGUCAGCAGCCUGGAGAGAAACCAGAGCGAGACGCCGCUGCUGCCUGAACCCUCGGCCGUAGAGCUGCUGAC
Molecule: long non-coding RNA, 412 nt
Organism: Sinocyclocheilus anshuiensis
Lineage: Eukaryota; Metazoa; Chordata; Actinopteri; Cypriniformes; Cyprinidae
Exons: 3
Source: RefSeq, a predicted model, not a curated record